UACGUAGGGGGCAAGCGUUGUCCGGAUUUAUUGGGCGUAAAGAGCGUGUAGGCGGCCAGGUAGGUCUGCUGUGAAAACUCGAGGCUUAACCUCGAGCUGUCGGCGGAAACCAUCUGGCUAGAGUCCGGAAGAGGAGAAUGGAAUUCCCGGUGUAGCGGUGAAAUGCGCAGAUAUCGGGAAGAACACCAGUGGCGAAGGCGGCUACCUGGACAGGUACUGACGCUAACAGCGCGAAAGCUAGGGGAGCAAACAGG
This 254-nucleotide ribosomal RNA is filed under the name uncultured bacterium. RNAcentral's name for it is "partial 16S ribosomal RNA". It matches the Rfam family "Bacterial small subunit ribosomal RNA", at positions 524 to 776 of the family's 1533-position model. The record is from RNAcentral.